GUAAAUUUGAAGUAAUCUUACAUAAUUAAUGGAAAAAUCCUGUGACUUUUGGACAGCAGGUGGGUUUAUGAAGAGAAUCUCAUAACACCACCAGAAGCCGGUUGAGAGAUUACAAGUGCCAUAAUCUGCUCUAACAGUCCUUCUUUAACUCCUGUGUGCUGAAAUUCUAACCAGGGAACGAGAUGGAGCUUGGAGGAUUCGUUCUUGAGAAGUCAUCCAUCCCACCCACAAAACUCUGCAAGGACACGGCUCUGGAUCACCCUGAGGAAAAUACUGUAAGCAGAAUCCAAAAAUAUUCCAGUUAAAAGGAAAAAAAAAUCAACAAAGGUUCUUUGCCAUUUAAUCUAAGGAUAACUACAAUCAACAUGAGUUUUAGAAGAAAGAAAUAAUUAUUCUCCAUGACAAUAAAACACUGACAUCAUCUCACAAAAAUGAGCAGCUGAGCAAAACAACAGGGAAAGGAGAAGAAAAUUAAACCUCAGGCUUCUGAACUUAGUGGGAAAAUAAAAGUGAGAUUGAUCCAGUCUUUUCUGCUCCUGCCUACUGUCACCAGAACAGCUAUUGAUCAGCUCCGCAGUUAUGGCUCUGCAUAAACCAGUGUAGGGUAAGGAAAGGCGACGCCAGCAAGUUACCAUCAGUGUUCGUUAGGGCUGAUUUAUUUAUUUAUGGUCACAUACCAGAGCUCCUGCCCUUUGAUGUAGACCAGAGCUGCUUCUAUAAGCAAAUGCUUAAAGGCAGACAGAACUAGUAAAUACCCAGCCUGAGCUACGUGAAGGCUGAAGGCAGGCAGCAGACUGCGAAAGAAGCCGCUGGACUUCACCUCGUGCACUAAUUCGGUACCGCAGCGCAGGCUCCUGUCUGCUGCAUUUCUACAGCUGAGAACAGGAGGUUUUCAGCAGAAGGAGAAAAUGUUUUGAAAGAUAUCCAUAAUCUAGAUAAUAAAAGUAAGUAAAUAAAUAAAUAAAUCAUUUUGUUUGCCUCCAUAUUUCCAUUACAGAGAAGAUAAUGAAAGAGCCCUGACUAAAUUC
Molecule: long non-coding RNA, 1028 nt
Filed under: Cairina moschata (Muscovy duck)
Lineage: Eukaryota; Metazoa; Chordata; Aves; Anseriformes; Anatidae
Description: domestica (muscovy Duck (domestic type)) lncRNA (ENSCMMG00000001880.1)
Source: RNAcentral